This 557-nucleotide long non-coding RNA is filed under the name Trifolium pratense (red clover). RNAcentral describes it as "long non-coding RNA (TPRA_LNC005722)". The record is from RNAcentral. Lineage: Eukaryota; Viridiplantae; Streptophyta; Magnoliopsida; Fabales; Fabaceae.
UGAAUUAAAAAGAAAUCUCGAGUACGGAUUCCGACAGCGUAACGGUAGGAAAUAAAAAUAUUAAACUAAGAGAAGAAAUCAAGAAUUAAAUCUUAGUCUCAAUUCUCUUCCUCAACUGUUACCAGUUGGUUCUGUGUCUAAAGUGUAAGAAAGGACGCAUAUUUAUACUAAAAUACAAGAGGGGGGAAAAGAAUUCUGGCCGAUGUGGGACUAAGUGUGGUGUGGCGAGAGCCACACGAUUUGAUUAAAAGGGAAUGGCCAUGAUCAAAAGCUGGCGGUUGCCAUUUGUCCCUAGCUGGCGAGCGGCAAGUGAUUUCCUUGUGGGCUUGCGUGUUUGUUUUGUGGGCUGCACAUGUGUGGCCCAAUUGGCUGCACAUGUGUGGCCCUUUUUGUCCAAUUUUGCUCCUUUUUAGUCCAUUUUCGCUCCUUUCUUCAACUCGUACACUUUUUAUCUGUUUAUUUAAAAUAUGAGAAAUAAGUAACUAUUUAUAUAGUAAAACUUCGGAAUCGAAAUAAAAACAUAUAAAAUAUAAUAGUAAAUUAACUAAAUAAAUAGC